UAUCGACGGCAGUGUUUGGCACCUCGAUGUCGGCUCAUCUCAUCCUGGGGCUGGAGCAGGUCCCAAGGGUACGGCUGUUCGCCGUUUAAAGAGGUACGUGAGCUGGGUUUAGAACGUCGUGAGACAGUUCGGUCCCUAUCUGCCGUGGGUGUAGGAUACUUGAGAGGAGUUGCCCCUAGUACGAGAGGACCGGGGUGAACGAUCCACUGGUGGACCUGUUGUUGCGCCAGCAGCAGUGCAGGGUAGCUAUGAUCGGACAGGAUAACCGCUGAAGGCAUCUAAGCGGGAAGCCCCCCUCAAAACAAGGUAUCCCUGAGGGCCGUGGAAGACCACCACGUCGAUAGGCCGGAGAUGUAAGCAUGGUAACAUGUUCAGUUGACCGGUACUAAUUGCCCGAUAGGCUUGAUUUGAUUCAG
Molecule: ribosomal RNA, 416 nt
Filed under: Rhodobacteraceae bacterium TMED38
Lineage: Bacteria; Pseudomonadati; Pseudomonadota; Alphaproteobacteria; Rhodobacterales; Paracoccaceae
Also listed under: 1 other name
Description: bacterial LSU rRNA
Rfam family: Bacterial large subunit ribosomal RNA
Source: RNAcentral